CACGUGAAAUCCCGUCGGAAUCUGGGAGGACCAUCUCCCAACCCUAAAUACUCCCUAGUGACCGAUAGUGAACCAGUACCGUGAGGGAAAGGUGAAAAGCACCCCGGGAGGGGAGUGAAAUAGAACCUGAAACCGUGUGCCUACAACAAGUUCGAGCCCGUUAAUGGGUGAGAGCGUGCCUUUUGUAGAAUGAACCGGCGAGUUACGUUAUGAUGCGAGGUUAAGUUGAAGAGACGGAGCCGUAGGGAAACCGAGUCUGAAUAGGGCGCCUUAGUAUCAUGACGUAGACCCGAAACCAUGUGACCUACCCAUGAGCAGGUUGAAGGUGCGGUAAGACGCACUGGAGGACCGAACCAGGGCACGUUGAAAAGUGCUUGGAUGACUUGUGGGUAGCGGAGAAAUUCCAAACGAACUUGGAGAUAGCUGGUUCUCUCCGAAAUAGCUUUAGGGCUAGCGUCGACAUUAGAGAUUCUUGGAGGUAGAGCACUGUUUGGGUGAGGGGUCCAUCCCGGAUUACCAAUCUCAGAUAAACUCCGAAUGCCAAUGAAUUAUGGUCGGCAGUCAGACUGCGAGUGCUAAGAUCCGUAGUCGAAAGGGAAACAGCCCAGACCACCAGCUAAGGUCCCAAAAUAAUUGUUAAGUGGAAAAGGAUGUGGGGUUGCACAGACAACUAGGAUGUUAGCUUAGAAGCAGCUAUUCAUUCAAAGAGUGCGUAAUAGCUCACUAGUCGAGUGACCCUGCGCCGAAAAUGUACCGGGGCUAAAACAAUUUACCGAAGCUGUGGAUACCUUUAUAGGUAUGGUAGGAGAGCGUUCUAUGUGUGAUGAAGGUAUACCGUGAGGAGUGCUGGAACGCAUAGAAGUGAGAAUGCCGGUAUGAGUAGCGAAAGACAGGUGAGAAUCCUGUCCACCGUAAGACUAAGGUUUCCAGGGGAAGGCUCGUCCGCCCUGGGUUAGUCGGGACCUAAGGAGAGACCGAAAGGUGUAUCCGAUGGACAACAGGUUGAUAUUCCUGUACUAGAGUAUGUAGUGAUGGAGGGACGCAGUAGGCUAACUAAAGCAGACGAUUGGAAGAGUCUGUCUAAGCAGUGAGGUGUGAAUUGAGUCAAAUGCUUAAUUCUAUAACAUUGAGCUGUGAUGGGGAGCGAAGUUUAGUAGCGAAGUUAGUGACGUCACACUGCCAAGAAAAGCUUCUAGCGUUUAAACAUACUCUACCCGUACCGCAAACCGACACAGGUAGUCGAGGCGAGUAGCCUCAGGUGAGCGAGAGAACUCUCGUUAAGGAACUCGGCAAAAUGACCCCGUAACUUCGGGAGAAGGGGUGCUGACUUAAAGUCAGCCGCAGUGAAUAGGCCCAAGCAACUGUUUAUCAAAAACACAGCUCUCUGCUAAAUCGUAAGAUGAUGUAUAGGGGGUGACGCCUGCCCGGUGCUGGAAGGUUAAGAGGAGUGCUUAGCGUAAGCGAAGGUAUGAAUUGAAGCCCCAGUAAACGGCGGCCGUAACUAUAACGGUCCUAAGGUAGCGAAAUUCCUUGUCGGGUAAGUUCCGACCCGCACGAAAGGCGUAAUGAUUUGGGCACUGUCUCAACGAGAGACUCGGUGAAAUUUUAGUACCUGUGAAGAUGCAGGUUACCCGCGACAGGACGGAAAGACCCCAUGGAGCUUUACUGCAGUUUGAUAUUGAGUGUCUGUACCACAUGUACAGGAUAGGUAGGAGUCUAAGAGAUCGGGACGCCAGUUUCGAAGGAGACGCUGUUGGGAUACUACCCUUGUGUUAUGGCCACUCUAACCCAGAUAGGUGAUCCCUAUCGGAGACAGUGUCUGACAGGCAGUUUGACUGGGGCGGUCGCCUCCUAAAAGGUAACGGAGGCGCCCAAAGGUUCCCUCAGAAUGGUUGGAAAUCAUUCGCAGAGUGUAAAGGUAUAAGGGAGCUUGACUGCGAGAGCUACAACUCGAGCAGGGACGAAAGUCGGGCUUAGUGAUCCGGUGGUUCCGUAUGGAAGGGCCAUCGCUCAACGGAUAAAAGCUACCCUGGGGAUAACAGGCUUAUCUCCCCCAAGAGUUCACAUCGACGGGGAGGUUUGGCACCUCGAUGUCGGCUCGUCGCAUCCUGGGGCUGUAGUCGGUCCCAAGGGUUGGGCUGUUCGCCCAUUAAAGCGGCACGCGAGCUGGGUUCAGAACGUCGUGAGACAGUUCGGUCCCUAUCCGUCGCGGGCGUAGGAAAUUUGAGAGGAUCUGCUCCUAGUACGAGAGGACCAGAGUGGACUUACCGCUGGUGUACCAGUUGUCUUGCCAAAGGCAUCGCUGGGUAGCUAUGUAGGGAAGGGAUAAACGCUGAAAGCAUCUAAGUGUGAAACCCACCUCAAGAUGAGAUUUCCCAUGAUUAUAUAUCAGUAAGAGCCCUGAGAGAUGAUCAGGUAGAUAGGUUAGAAGUGGAAGUGUGGCGACACAUGUAGCGGACUAAUACUAAUAGCUCGAGGACUUAUCCAA
RNAcentral lists this ribosomal RNA (2488 nucleotides) under Streptococcus pneumoniae. RNAcentral's name for it is "bacterial LSU rRNA". It matches the Rfam family "Bacterial large subunit ribosomal RNA", at positions 423 to 2925 of the family's 2925-position model. The record is from RNAcentral. Lineage: Bacteria; Bacillati; Bacillota; Bacilli; Lactobacillales; Streptococcaceae.